This 253-nucleotide ribosomal RNA is filed under the name uncultured bacterium. RNAcentral describes it as "partial 16S ribosomal RNA". It matches the Rfam family "Bacterial small subunit ribosomal RNA", at positions 524 to 776 of the family's 1533-position model. The record is from RNAcentral.
UACGUAGGGGGCAAGCGUUGGCCGGAUUUAUUGGGCGUAAAGAGCGUGUAGGCGGCUGGGUAGGUCUGCUGUGAAAACUCGAGGCUCAACCUCGAGACGUCGGCGGAAACCCUCCAGCUAGAGUCCGGAAGAGGAGAGUGGAAUUCCUGGUGUAGCGGUGAAAUGCGCAGAUAUCAGGAAGAACACCCGUGGCGAAAGCGGCUCUCUGGGACGGUACUGACGCUGAGACGCGAAAGCGUGGGGAGCGAACAGG